AUUGUGUAUAUAUAGUGUAUAUUUAGUCUACAUUGUGUUUAUUGAGUGUAUUUUUAGUGCAUUUAGUGUAUAUUUACUGUUUAUCUUUUACAUUUAGUGUAUAUUUAGUGUAUAUGUUGUAUAUUUUGUGAAUAUUUAGUGUAUAUCGUGUAUAUUUAGUGUGUUUAGUGUAUGUAGUGUAUAUUUAGUGUAUAUUUCGUCUAUAUCGUGUAUAUAUAGUGUAAAUUUAUAUCGUGUUUAUUUAGUGUAUUUUUAGUGCAUUUAGUGUAUAUUUAGUGUAUAUUUAGUGUAUAUUUAGUGUUUAUCUUCUAUAUUUAGUGUGUAUUUAGUGUGUAUUUAGUGUGUAUUUAGUGUGUGACUUAGAGGGCCAACUGGAAUGCAAAGAUUGGAGCAGUCAGAGGUUCUCCAUGGAUCAAUCUCCCUUUGCUGCACAGGUAGAGCUAAUUGCCUGUUGGCCAUGACCCUUGAUCAAUUAAUCAAUGAAUUAAUUUGCUUCCUGCCUGUCUGGGAACUGUCAGCUCAGGGCUUGAGCUGGUGAUUGAGCACCUACUGGGGGGUGGAGCCAGCCCUGAGAGCACGGGCGGAAGCAAUGAAGCAAUGAACCGGUGGGAGUGGGCAGUGUUGGAGCCUGGCUUCACCCCCCCAGCCUCAUUUAAGGGCAGGCAGGGGAAGGGGAAGCAUCUCUGCCUGGAAGCUGCUGCCUUUGUUGCGUGGGAUGAGCUCUAACCCUUGGGAUGGGGUAAGUCUGGGGGGAUCUGGAACUGCCUUUAUGCAGCUCUAUCUUCUAAUGCCUAUUUUACCAUAUUCGUGUUUUUUUCCGUUAGGGAGACGAAUGGAUGACGUCCCUUCCUUGGAAAUCCUCUUGACGUUGCUUACCUCAGUGGGUGGAUGGGAUCUGCUGGGUCAGAGCCUGAGCCAUGGAUGGAGCAGCUGGAGGUGAGAGCCAGUCAGCCCUGGGAGUGCAGGUGGAGGCCCUUCAUCUCUGCCACCUCUUCUAGGCCUCAUGGAAGGGCUGCCUGCCCCUGAUUGAGGAUCUCAUUCUGGAGCUCCCUCCUUGCUGCAAGCUUUGCUCUGCGAAGCCAGGAUCUUGGGCUGCGGGUGAGCCAUCUGCUUCCCUUCCCUUGCAGCGCCUUGCUGCUCGUUCCACAUCAUUUGUCACGCUCUUUCCAUGCUGUUGGUCCUUCUGAUGGCUACCUUGGGUCAGCAGAUAUGCUUGUGUUUCUCCAGGGACUGGCUGUACAUGGGUUCCAGCGCGAUACAUUCGGCCUCAUCUCCAGGCAGAAAAUAACUGGGAUGGUGCGUUUCUUACUCAUUGCUUUUGUUUCGUAAUUAGUUGUAUUAUAGAUACUGAAGUGAGUGUUGAAAAACGACUGCACUACCCCCUGGAUGGCAUUGUAAUAACCAGCCUAGUAAUGGUAUGGCCAAGUAGGUGAUUUUCCCUGUGCUAGCAAGGCAGCCUCAAGAAUUAGAAUUCUUAGGCAUCAUCUAGGUUACUGUGUGCUGCUUCUAUUUCAGGAGUAGGUGAAAUGUGAAUGGAACAGGAUUUGAUGUCAGCAGUGCUGGAAUGGCAGGGACCUGUUAGUUCUGUCUCUAGCUGCGAAUGUCCUGUUUCGUGGAGAGGGCUGCCCUUGGUAGUGGAUUUUGCUUUGCAAGCAGGUGUUCCACUUGGGCUCUGUAUCACGCGCUGGCCACGCGGAUGCAGCGUCCAAAUGGAAACCAACCCUGCAGA
Long non-coding RNA from Numida meleagris (helmeted guineafowl), 1729 nucleotides. Lineage: Eukaryota; Metazoa; Chordata; Aves; Galliformes; Numididae. The record is from Ensembl.